This is a long non-coding RNA of Thalassophryne amazonica, 995 nucleotides long. RefSeq lists it as uncharacterized. The record is from RefSeq and is a predicted model, not a curated record. The transcript has 2 exons. NCBI's taxonomy places the organism in Eukaryota, Metazoa, Chordata, Actinopteri, Batrachoidiformes, Batrachoididae.
GUGUGCGACACUCUUCCUGCUAAGACUGCGGAGUGCAGAGGGAAUGAAACGACAGCAGAUCGUUAGACUGGGAUUGCCGGCAUUUUCCUAAUUUAUGCAAAUUAAUUUCAGAUGUGAAACCAGAGGGAGCGGCUAUGACUGCUUGGAAUCGAGACCAAGCAGUAAAAGGGUAAACUGCCUGCGAUGCUGUGGUGGUUCGUAAAGCUAAGCAGCGUAAGCCGCGGUGGGCUGUGGCACGCCAAGCAACAGCGACAAAGAAACACAGGCUGUGCCAGCCCUCUUCCUGGCAAGGCGGGCAGACAAAUGGCCAAUCAGGCUCAUUCUGGCAUUCUCGUAGGCGAAUGGGAUGGCAUACCGGUUCUCCUGUCGCCCCACCUCCUCUCCGUGCUGCGCCGCAGCUGCCCAGAAUGAUUUUAUAAACAUUUUGCCAGUGGAUCAAUACCUGUAUUGAUCAACCAUUGUGAGAGUGAUCCAUCUAAAACCCAGAGCAGCCUAGAGCUCAGAGAUGGGAGGAGCGAAAGAGAAAGGCUGCAGAGAGGAUGGAGAAGGAGAGAGAGAGUCUGCAGCCACAGUGAAAAGGAGAAGAGGUACAAGGGAAGAGAAUCUGAGAGAGGAGCAGACGCAGAACUGAAGGCAGGUGGGCAGGUUCUGGACAACGCUACCAGGCCACUGGGAUUAGGGAGGAACCUGUGAUAAUUGCUUUCUCAUUAAGGAUGGGAGGGUACGAGCGACUAAUGACUACCGCUUAAAGUAUGCGCUGCAAGUGACUGAUGAAGGAAUCGUGCAAAGAAAUGUGCAUGUGUACGAGAAAGGGGUGAAUCCCCCCACAUGACCGCUGACGCCUGUAGAGUUUGGCCUGAUCUGCCUUCAUGACUACAUGGGAGUGAGAAGGCCUUGUUGUGUUCAUGGUCAAAUCCAAACUACAAUUUUAUGAAGAAACAAGUGAGAAGACUCAUAGCAAAGGAUUAUCCUGCACCAUGGAUACAAACAUCCAA